ACUUGGGGCCCUUUAGUUUCGCAUCUGGACCUUCGAUAUUCACAUCAGGAACAUCAACGUCCACUUUGGGUCCUGAGACAUCAAUGUCAGCCUUGGGCAGGUUCACAUCCACAUCUGGGCCCUCUCCUUUGAAGCCAGGCAUGCUGAACUUGGGCAUUUUCACCUUGGGCAUCUUCAGGUGCCAGUCUGGGCCUUGAACAUCCACAUCUGGGGCAUUAAUAUCCACUUUGGGGCCUUUAAUAUCCACGUCAGGAACUUUCAUGUCACCUUCCACUUUUGGCAGAGACACAUCCAUGUCACCCUUCACUUUGGGACCUUUCAGGUUAAGAUCAAUGUCAGGCAUGGAGAUCUUGGGGGCUUUGAUGUUCAUCUCAGGCAUUUUGAAUUUGGGACCUUUCAACUUUCCCUCUGGGCCUUCGAUAUUCACAUCUGGAACAUCAAUGUCCACCUUGGGUCCUGAGACAUCAAGGUCAGCCUUGGGCAGGUUCACAUCCACAUCUGGGCCCUCUCCUUUGAAGCCAGGCAUGCUGAAUUUGGGCAUUUUCACUUUGGGCAUUUUUAGGUGCCAGUCUGGGCCUUGAACCUCCACAUCUGGGACAUCAAUGUCCAUUUUGGCACUUUUAAGUUCAACAUCAGGAACUUUAAUCUCACUUUCAAC
This 658-nucleotide long non-coding RNA is filed under the name Homo sapiens (human). Its description in RNAcentral is "HSALNT0176074". The record is from RNAcentral. Lineage: Eukaryota; Metazoa; Chordata; Mammalia; Primates; Hominidae.